AGAGCGAACGCUGGCGGCAGGCCUAACACAUGCAAGUCGAACGGAUCCUUCGGGAUUAGUGGCGGACGGGUGAGUAACACGUGGGAACGUGCCCUUUGGUUCGGAACAACUCAGGGAAACUUGAGCUAAUACCGGAUAAGCCCUACGGGGGAAAGAUUUAUCGCCAUUGGAGCGGCCCGCGUCUGAUUAGCUAGUUGGUGAGGUAAAGGCUCACCAAGGCUACGAUCAGUAGCUGGUCUGAGAGGAUGAUCAGCCACAUUGGGACUGAGACACGGCCCAAACUCCUACGGGAGGCAGCAGUGGGGAAUCUUGCGCAAUGGGCGAAAGCCUGACGCAGCCAUGCCGCGUGAAUGAUGAAGGUCUUAGGAUUGUAAAAUUCUUUCAGCAGGGACGAUAAUGACGGUACCUGCAGAAGAAGCCCCGGCUAACUUCGUGCCAGCAGCCGC
RNAcentral lists this ribosomal RNA (446 nucleotides) under uncultured bacterium. Its description in RNAcentral is "SSU rRNA". It matches the Rfam family "Bacterial small subunit ribosomal RNA", at positions 26 to 518 of the family's 1533-position model. The record is from RNAcentral.